GUAGCCCUGGCUGUCCUGGAACUCAGAGAUCUGCCUGCCUCUGCCUCCUGAGUGCUGGAAUUAAAGGCAUAUGCCACUAUGCCUAGCUUAAAUAAAAGAAUGUUAAUACUUCAGUCUCUGGUAGGGUUCUUACGACUUGACCUGCUUAUUAGAGGAGAACCCUGUAUUCAAGGACAGUAGGACCUGGAACUCUGAGACCUUGUUUUUCCUUUAGUGACUCUUUCUGGCCACAAUGUAGACCAAACUGGGGCAGCUUUCAGAAAAACUCUGGAGAGAAAAUAUAUUGCUAAAAAACAUCACGUGGCAGCUGUGUUCCAAUGCCAGGAUAUUCUUAUAAGCGAAUCUGCUCCCCGACAGCGACAGUGAUGGCUCUCAGGCCUCGGACUUUGGCAGUUCUGCACAGUGCAAUCAGGUGGAUCCACUCGGGGAUUUGGUGAAAGUCAACUGAAUGGCUACUGUUUUGAACAGUGCUGACAAGAAAGUCACAAAACAGUAUCACAAAGUCAACUAAACCGGAUGCAGGUGCAACGAGACACUUCUAACAAGGCCCAGCGCUGCUCACGAUGAGUGACUUGGUUUAGAAGCAGCACCGGAGAAGACAAGUGCGUGAGCUGAGCACCUGGUGUGCUGGUGCCAUCCUAGGACCACAGCCAGGGUGAGGCUAGCCUGUGCAUGCGUUCAAGGGUAGCCUGCACUACACACUGAGACCAUGUCUCAAA
Non-coding RNA from Peromyscus maniculatus bairdii (prairie deer mouse), 719 nucleotides. The record is from RefSeq and is a predicted model, not a curated record. NCBI's taxonomy places the organism in Eukaryota, Metazoa, Chordata, Mammalia, Rodentia, Cricetidae.